UACGUCGUCAAUGGGUCUCCAUAAAUUAUGCAAGUCGUAAAAUGCAAAAUUCAUAUUUAAUUAUACUGAAGGAAAAACUAUUAGUUAAUUUGUCAGUUUAAGUAAUGUUGAAUCUAUUUCUUUUGAAAUAUAUAAAUUUUUCGUAAUAUUUUCUUGGAUUUGCGACAAUCGCCAUAAUAUUCGCAGUUCGGUAGCGAAUGUCAACAUGUCCAGAUCAUUUUCCGUAGAAAACCCCGAGAGGGUUGUUUUGUAAAACCUACAAACUGUGAACAUUAUUGAAGCAUUCCAGAAGCCCACGGACAGUUAUGACAAAUUAAAUCAUAGUUAUUUAUGCCCGGGGCAUUCCGAUCAACUUGAAGGUCACAAACAUGUGCAAGAUUGCAGAUCCACGUUGCCUCGUCUGAUGUCAUGUCGUGUGCAGUGAGCAUGAGAAAAACAACCCUGCUUUACCCUAGACUAGAAAAAAGACUGGAGGUCAAAAUGCAGGAUGAUUGAGCAGGGAGUGCUGGCAGAUGGACUAUUGAGGUCAACAAAAAAUUCUGACUUUCACCAGGUGGACACAUGUUCAGGAAGAAAUUCUCACAUCA
This is a long non-coding RNA of Saccostrea echinata, 587 nucleotides long. RefSeq lists it as uncharacterized. The transcript is spliced from 3 exons. The record is from RefSeq and is a predicted model, not a curated record. NCBI's taxonomy places the organism in Eukaryota, Metazoa, Mollusca, Bivalvia, Ostreida, Ostreidae.